This 1268-nucleotide ribosomal RNA is filed under the name Salmonella enterica subsp. enterica serovar Infantis. RNAcentral's name for it is "partial 23S ribosomal RNA". It matches the Rfam family "Bacterial large subunit ribosomal RNA", at positions 45 to 1269 of the family's 2925-position model. Lineage: Bacteria; Pseudomonadati; Pseudomonadota; Gammaproteobacteria; Enterobacterales; Enterobacteriaceae. The record is from RNAcentral.
GGCGAUGAAGGGCGUGCUAAUCUGCGAUAAGCGCCGGUAAGGUGAUAUGAACCGUUAUAACCGGCGAUACCCGAAUGGGGAAACCCAGUGUGAUUCGUCACACUAUCAUUAACUGAAUCCAUAGGUUAAUGAGGCGAACCGGGGGAACUGAAACAUCUAAGUACCCCGAGGAAAAGAAAUCAACCGAGAUUCCCCCAGUAGCGGCGAGCGAACGGGGAGGAGCCCAGAGCCUGAAUCAGCAUGUGUGUUAGUGGAAGCGUCUGGAAAGGCGCGCGAUACAGGGUGACAGCCCCGUACACAAAAGCGCAUGUGCUGUGAGCUCGAUGAGUAGGGCGGGACACGUGGUAUCCUGUCUGAAUAUGGGGGGACCAUCCUCCAAGGCUAAAUACUCCUGACUGACCGAUAGUGAACCAGUACCGUGAGGGAAAGGCGAAAAGAACCCCGGCGAGGGGAGUGAAAAAGAACCUGAAACCGUGUACGUACAAGCAGUGGGAGCACAGGUUUACCUGUGUGACUGCGUACCUUUUGUAUAAUGGGUCAGCGACUUAUAUUCUGUAGCAAGGUUAACCGAAUAGGGGAGCCGGAGGGAAACCGAGUCUUAAUUGGGCGUUAAGUUGCAGGGUAUAGACCCGAAACCCGGUGAUCUAGCCAUGGGCAGGUUGAAGGUUGGGUAACACUAACUGGAGGACCGAACCGACUAAUGUUGAAAAAUUAGCGGAUGACCUGUGGCUGGGGGUGAAAGGCCAAUCAAACCGGGAGAUAGCUGGUUCUCCCCGAAAGCUAUUUAGGUAGCGCCUCGUGAAUUCAUCUCCGGGGGUAGAGCACUGUUUCGGCUAGGGGGCCAUCCCGGCUUACCAACCCGAUGCAAACUGCGAAUACCGGAGAAUGUUAUCACGGGAGACACACGGCGGGUGCUAACGUCCGUCGUGAAGAGGGAAACAACCCAGACCGCCAGCUAAGGUCCCAAAGUCAUGGUUAAGUGGGAAACGAUGUGGGAAGGCCCAGACAGCCAGGAUGUUGGCUUAGAAGCAGCCAUCAUUUAAAGAAAGCGUAAUAGCUCACUGGUCGAGUCGGCCUGCGCGGAAGAUGUAACGGGGCUAAACCAUGCACCGAAGCUGCGGCAGCGAACGUAUCACUUAAAGCGAUUCAGCGGGUUACGAUUGACGGAGCGAAGCGACGUCAAAGCGUAUACAAAGUCGAGUCGGUUUAAGGAUACGUUCGUUGGGUAGGGGAGCGUUCUGUAAGCCUGUGAAGGUGUGUCGUGAGGC